GACGAACGCUGGCGGCGUGCUUAACACAUGCAAGUCGAACGGAAAGGCCCUGCUUUUGUGGGGUGCUCGAGUGGCGAACGGGUGAGUAACACGUGAGUAACCUGCCCUUGACUUUGGGAUAACUUCAGGAAACUGGGGCUAAUACCGGAUAGGAGCUCCUGCUGCAUGGUGGGGGUUGGAAAGUUUCGGCGGUGGGGGCUGGAAUCGCGGCUUAUCCGCUUGUUGGUGGGGUAGUGGCGUACCAAGGCUUUGACGGGUAGCCGGCCUGAGAGGGUGACCGGCGACAUUGGGACUGAGAUACGGCGCAGACUCCUACGGGAGGCAGCAGUGGGGAAUAUUGCACAACGGGCGGAAGCCUGAUGCAGCAACGCCGCGUGCGGGAUGACGGCCUUCGGGUUGUAAACCGCUUUCGCCUGUGACGAAGCGUGAGUGACGGUAAUGGGUAAAGAAGCACCGGCUAACUACGUG
RNAcentral lists this ribosomal RNA (468 nucleotides) under uncultured bacterium. RNAcentral describes it as "partial 16S ribosomal RNA". It matches the Rfam family "Bacterial small subunit ribosomal RNA", at positions 28 to 507 of the family's 1533-position model. The record is from RNAcentral.